Molecule: non-coding RNA, 2117 nt
Organism: Caenorhabditis elegans
Lineage: Eukaryota; Metazoa; Nematoda; Chromadorea; Rhabditida; Rhabditidae
Gene: anr-34
Product: ncRNA
Source: Ensembl
CUCCUCAAAAACUUCAUCUUCAACCUCAUUCACCAUUAGAUUUGAUGCAAUUGUUGCUUCGUUGACGACAAGAUCCGAUGAGUUGUCUAGAAAAUUGGAAAAUAAAAUCAUAUUCAUUCCAUAUUGAUUUUGCAAGAAUUCAAAAAAACCCACCCAAACCAAAAUUAGCAGUUUCAUAUGCCCCAACAUUAUUCAUAUCACAAAUGUGUUGAUCAUUCGGUUGCAUUGGAUUGCGAUCCGAAUCUUGAUAAACUGCAGUUGCAAAUGGGUCAUAGGAACUCGAACUAGCAGAUGAGGAUGGAAGUGAAGAUUGGGACAUCAGUUGGAAAUCUGUAAAUGGGAUAUUUUUGGUCUAAAUUGAAAUUUGAUAGAGUAGAAAUUUGAUAGAGAGAAACUGACACCAAACAACUACUUUUCUGAAUGAGAAUUCUCAAAAAAAAAUUUGAUGGCGAAUUAAAACUUAUUUAAAAAAAAAACCUUUUUGCCACUUUUCCUUAUUGCAGCAAUCCAUUUUAAAAUUUUUAUUCAACUAACAUUAAAUUAUUAUAUUUUUCAAUGAUUAAGACACAUUUUCGGUCGAUAGGCACCCAAUAUUUGUAGGGUGCCUAGCGACUGGAAAUUCAUUUAAAUUAGUUUUAGUGAAUUUCGAUCCUGUCCAGUCGUAUAUUUCCUUCAAAAAUUUUACAGAAGUUACAACUGAGGCACAAAAUUCUCUCAAAAUAUUAGACGUCAAGUUUUACCUGGAUAUCUUCCAAUAAGUGGAUCAUAACCGUAGGACACUGGCGGACGAAGGUAUUCGUUUUGGAAGGCGUUCUAAAAUUAGAAAUUAAAAAAAAAACAGGAAAAAAUCAGAAAACAGAAACCCGUGAUUUCGGCGCGUCGCUCAUGCAAAUAAUUUGUAUUUUGGGAAAAUUAUACACUGUUUCUGUCUCAAUGUGACUUUUUAGAUAUAAAAAAAUGGGUUAGUCACUCUAAAAUUCUGAUAUGUGUUGUCAUAGAUUUUUGAUUUUUGAUUCAAGUGAUUCGUGUGAUUCGAUUGAGAGCCAGGUUUUGCCAAAAUUGGAAAAUUGGAAAUCCCGUUCCUGCUUGCAGAAAUAAUGCUGUUGAUCUACAAAUGUAAGUGCAUUAAAGGUUCAAUUAGAUUAUGUGAAACUUGUUUCAUGUUAAUGUUGAUAUUUCUAAAGAAUAUCUACAGUAACCCUACUGACUAUUUAGAUAUCUAAAUCUUGACGCUUUCUUAAGAAUCCAGGGUGUCAAUCCUUCUCGGGUCAUUCCAUUUGAUCCAAUUCAUCGUUCCUUGCCCGUCUUCAUCCCAUCAAAGCACCACUUCCUGCCAUAAAACAAUAGCGUGUCGUCGGGUGGUUCGAAUCUCUGUCCCUCUUCAUCUUUCAAACUAUUCUCCCAAUCGGUUCGAGACCCCUAGUAUACUCGGAAUGGCCUGUGCUGCUGGUUGCCCCUACCCUGCCGUCGUCUCGAUUCCCCUUUUCUCUUCGUCUCGCCUCACCACGGCCCCUAGAGGCGCGGGGCAAUCGCGCUCCUCUUCUUUAUUUUUACAGCCCCCUAUCAAUUAUUUUCCUUACAUUUUGUCGUUGAGUUGUUGUUGAUGUCGGAAGUCGGUGAAUAAUAUCUUGAUGGAAAUGAAGAUUUGGUGCCAUUUCCAAUCGUUCUCGUUUCUUAUUUGUUAUCAUUAAAUCAUCAUCACUGGUUCGCUUACCGGAACGUGGGCAAAAGCGAGAGGUGUUUUUCUGUAAAAGAGAUCCUCGGUUAUCACUGGAUUUUUAAGCUUUGAGGAAAGCUAACGGAUCUACUUUUUUGCUUUAUUACCAAACAAGACCGAAUUUCGCUAUGAAACUCUUCAAAAGAAAAAUCGAAAUUAUGGAAAAGAAGCUAAUUUUAACAAAAUCUGUCACAAUGGUAGGUAACGAAAUUUGGUGACUUUUCUGCUUUAAAUGUGGUGAACAACCGAAAUAAGAAAUAACAUGAUUUUCCGUUUUUUUCAGAUUUUUUGAAAAAAUUCAACUUUUCCAGAAAUAGCCUCAAAUUUUUGUUAUUUUUCUUCCUUGCAGAAAAAAAUUUUAUAUUUUCUUGUUGUUUUGCUGAUAAAAACUUGAAUUUUU